GAUGAACGCUGGCGGCGUGCCUAAUACAUGCAAGUCGAGCGAACGGACGAGAAGCUUGCUGCUCUGAUGUUAGCGGCGGACGGGUGAGUAACACGUGGAUAACCUACCUAUAAGACGGGGAUAACUUCGGGAAACCGGAGCUAAUACCGGAUAAUAUUUUGAACCGCAUGGUUCAAAAGUGAAAGACGGUCUUGCGGUCACUUAUAGAUGGAUCCGCGCUGCAUUAGCUAGUUGGUAAGGUAACGGCUUACCAAGGCAACGAUGCAUAGCCGAACUGAGAGACUGAUCGCCCACACUGGAACUUGGACACGGUCAAGACGCCUACGGGAGGCCGCAGUAGGGAAUCUUCCGCAAUGGGCGAAAGCCUGACGGAGCAACGCCGCGUGAGUGAUGACGGUCUUCGGAUCGUAAAACUCUGUUAUUAGGGAAGAACAUAUGUGUAAGUAACUGUGCACAUCUUGACGGUAACUAAUCAGAAAGCAACGGCUAACUACGUG
RNAcentral lists this ribosomal RNA (497 nucleotides) under uncultured bacterium. RNAcentral's name for it is "partial 16S ribosomal RNA". It matches the Rfam family "Bacterial small subunit ribosomal RNA", at positions 28 to 507 of the family's 1533-position model. The record is from RNAcentral.